UACAGAGGGGGCAAGCGUUGUUCGGAAUUACUGGGCGUAAAGGGCGCGUAGGCGGCCUGUUAAGUCGAACGUGAAAUCCCCGGGCUCAACCCGGGAACUGCGUCCGAUACUGGCAGGCUUGAAUCCGGGAGAGGGAUGCGGAAUUCCAGGUGUAGCGGUGAAAUGCGUAGAUAUCUGGAGGAACACCGGUGGCGAAGGCGGCAUUCUGGACCGGCAUUGACGCUGAGGCGCGAAAGCCAGGGGAGCAAACGGG
RNAcentral lists this ribosomal RNA (253 nucleotides) under uncultured bacterium. RNAcentral's name for it is "partial 16S ribosomal RNA". It matches the Rfam family "Bacterial small subunit ribosomal RNA", at positions 524 to 776 of the family's 1533-position model. The record is from RNAcentral.